Pongo abelii (Sumatran orangutan) is the source of this 130-nucleotide small nucleolar RNA. The record is from Ensembl. Lineage: Eukaryota; Metazoa; Chordata; Mammalia; Primates; Hominidae.
UGCCUCUUUUUGUUAAAGACAAUUUGCUUUACAGUAGUGCCCAUCUCCUAUCAGUCAGGGAUGAAGCAAUCCCUUGUUCAUCCCCAGCUUGGCUUUUGAUCUAUGCCUGGUUCAUGGCUUGGACACAUGG